This 498-nucleotide ribosomal RNA is filed under the name uncultured bacterium. RNAcentral describes it as "partial 16S ribosomal RNA". It matches the Rfam family "Bacterial small subunit ribosomal RNA", at positions 30 to 523 of the family's 1533-position model. The record is from RNAcentral.
AUUGAACGCUGGCGGCAUGCUUUACACAUGCAAGUCGAACGGUAACAGGCCGCAAGGUGCUGACGAGUGGCGAACGGGUGAGUAAUGCAUCGGAACGUGCCCAGUCGUGGGGGAUAACGCAGCGAAAGCUGCGCUAAUACCGCAUACGAUCUAUGGAUGAAAGCGGGGGACCGUAAGGCCUCGCGCGAUUGGAGCGGCCGAUGUCAGAUUAGGUAGUUGGUGAGGUAAGGGCUCACCAAGCCAACGAUCUGUAGCUGGUCUGAGAGGACGACCAGCCACACUGGGACUGAGGCACGGCCCAGACUCCUACGGGAGGCAGCAGUGGGGAAUUUUGGACAAUGGGCGCAAGCCUGAUCCAGCAAUGCCGCGUGCAGGAAGAAGGCCUUCGGGUUGUAAACUGCUUUUGUACGGAACGAAACGGCUCUCACUAAUACUGGGGGCUAAUGACGGUACCGUAAGAAUAAGCACCGGCUAACUACGUGCCAGCAGCCGCCGUAA